UGAGGAAUAUUGGUCAAUGGGCGAGAGCCUGAACCAGCCAAGUCGCGUGAAGGAAGAAGGUUCUAUGGAUUGUAAACUUCUUUUGCACGGGAAUAAAGUGAGCUACGUGUAGCUUAUUGUAUGUACUGUGCGAAUAAGGAUCGGCUAACUCCGUGCCAGCAGCCGCGGUAAUACGGAGGAUCCGAGCGUUAUCCGGAUUUAUUGGGUUUAAAGGGUGCGUAGGCGGGAGAUUAAGUCAGUGGUGAAAGUUUGCAGCUUAACUGUAAAAUUGCCAUUGAAACUGAUUUUCUUGAGUGUAAAUAAGGUAGGCGGAAUGUGUUGUGUAGCGGUGAAAUGCAUAGAUAUAACACAGAACCCCGAUUGCGAAGGCAGCUUACCGGGCUACAACUGACGCUGAGGCACGAAAGCGUGGGGAUCAAACAG
Molecule: ribosomal RNA, 423 nt
Filed under: uncultured bacterium
Lineage: Bacteria
Description: bacterial SSU rRNA
Rfam family: Bacterial small subunit ribosomal RNA
Source: RNAcentral